This 1687-nucleotide unclassified non-coding RNA is filed under the name Hevea brasiliensis (rubber tree). The record is from RNAcentral. Lineage: Eukaryota; Viridiplantae; Streptophyta; Magnoliopsida; Malpighiales; Euphorbiaceae.
UCUCCUUUCUGGCCCAUGAGAAGUCUUAGAAGCGGAAGCCCUUCUUUUUCUCAAUGCCAAAUCGGUCAUUAAUGAAUCGAAAGGGCACAUUAUGGUAUGACAACCGAUCUCGCACUUUCUUCCCCAUUCUCUCCCUCCUUUCAUUCUUCCCGUAAUCCCAUCUCUGACCAUCUCCAUUUUCAUUUCGGGUAAAUCCCACCUUCAUAUUGCCUUUUAUUCGCCCCUCAAAAUAUUGGAAAGUUUUUUAACUCCAUUAUCUCAAAUGGCUCCCUAAAGACAGAUCAAUGAAAUUCACCUUCUUCCAUUACCCAUCUUAAAAUUUCCCUCUGGUAAGAAAGUCCAAUACCCUUUUUUUCAUUCCUGUAUAUGGGUAACUGAGGUUUUCUCUUUUCUUUGUUUUUAUUAUUUUUUGAAUUAAAUAUGAAUUCAAGAGAUCGGAUUUUCCCUGAUGAAGUUAUUCUUCAAAUACUUGCAAGAUUGCCUGUUAAGUCACUGUUUAGAGCUAAAACUGUAUGCAAACUCUGGUAUAGAAUAUCAUCAGAUAAGUAUUUUAUCCAACUUUACAAUGAAACAGCUGCUAAGACCCCAGUGGUGUUGUUAGAGAUUUCAGAUUCUUCUGAGUCAAAAUCUAGCUUAAUUUGUAUUGAUAAUUUAAGGGGUGUCUCUGAAUUCUCCUUAGAUUUCUUGAAAGACAGAGUGAAAGUUAGGGCCUCGAGUAAUGGCCUUUUGUGCUGCUCUAGUAUCCCUGAUAAGGGUGUUUACUAUGUUUGCAAUCCAAUGACUAGAGAAUCUAAGUUGCUUCCUAAGAGUAGAGAAAGGCCUGUGACUAGGUUUUAUCCUGAUGGUGAGGCCACUCUAGUUGGUUUGGCUUGCAAUUUAUCAAUGCAAAAGUUUAAUGUUGUUUUAGCCGGUUAUCAUCGAACAUUUGGUCAUAGGCCAGAUGGGACAUUUUUAUGUUUGGUAUUUGAUUCAGAUUUGAAUAAAUGGAGGAAGUUUGUUUCUUUUCAAGAUGAUCAUUUUACCCAUAUGAAUAGGAACCAGGUUGUGUUUGUCAAUGGUGCACUCCAUUGGUUAACAGGAAGUUUUUCAUGUAUUCUUGCACUUGAUCUGGAUUGUGAUGUUUGGAGGAAGAUCUCAUUGCCAGAUGAAUUGAGUUCUGGUGCUGGAAAUAGGGUGUAUUUGUUGGAGUCAGAUGGGUGUUUAUCUGUAAUACAGAUUUCAGAGGCAUGGAUGAAAAUAUGGGUGAUGAAGGACUAUAAGUGUGAACUGUGGCAUGAGGUGGAUAGGGUGAGCUUGAGAUGCAUUCGGGGAAUGGUGCCUGGUAUUUUCCCGAUAAGUCAGACAGGUGAAUGUGUUUUCCUGGCAACUUAUAAGCAGGUUUUGGUGUAUCAUCGGAGGAGUAGGGUGUGGAAAGAGAUGUUUUCAGUGAAGAACAGUUCUGCAUUGCCAUUGUGGUUCUCAGCACAUGCAUUUCGGAGCACAUUAUUCUCAUGUAAUUAAAUUGUGGUCAGCACCUGACAAGAUUCCUGUACAGAAAUUUAUUGGUGCUACUUAUUUGAACUGUUAUUUAUUAAUCUUCAUGAUUUUUCAAUAUGCAAUUGUUAUGCUGUUAUAGUGGCCUUGGUUUGGAUCUAUUACAUUUUAUGAAUAAUUAGCAAGGCAAGUUUGCUAAUUUUUUUUUUUUUUU